This is a non-coding RNA of Cinara cedri, 264 nucleotides long. The record is from the annotation of a GenBank genome assembly. NCBI's taxonomy places the organism in Eukaryota, Metazoa, Arthropoda, Insecta, Hemiptera, Aphididae.
CCGAACUCGUAUUUUUUUCCCCUAGUUAAUAGCUACGGUUUAAUCAUGCUUACAACUAAAAUCAGAUUAAUAAUCGUUUUGUAUGGAAGUACCUACCUAUUGCAUGAAUAGAUUCUUUUUUUGUUACCGGUUAAACUAAAAAAACUUAAUAAUCUUAUUAAACAUUUGAUAAACAUCAAUAGAUGCUCGCAUUCAAACUGGUAAUUAUGUAGAAUUUUGCCAAUAGAUCUCAGUUUUGCAAUGUUAAGAAUAUUUUUAACUGUA